This 492-nucleotide ribosomal RNA is filed under the name uncultured bacterium. RNAcentral describes it as "partial 16S ribosomal RNA". It matches the Rfam family "Bacterial small subunit ribosomal RNA", at positions 29 to 507 of the family's 1533-position model. The record is from RNAcentral.
AGUGAACGCUGGCGGCAGGCUUAACACAUGCAAGUCGAACGGCAGCACAGUAAGAGCUUGCUCUUACGGGUGGCGAGUGGCGGACGGGUGAGGAAUACAUCGGAAUCUACUUUUUCGUGGGGGAUAACGUAGGGAAACUUACGCUAAUACCGCAUACGACCUACGGGUGAAAGCAGGGGAUCGUCGGACCUUGCGCGAUUGAAUGAGCCGAUGUCGGAUUAGCUAGUUGGCGGGGUAAAGGCCCACCAAGGCGACGAUCCGUAGCUGGUCUGAGAGGAUGAUCAGCCACACUGGAACUGAGACACGGUCCAGACUCCUACGGGAGGCAGCAGUGGGGAAUAUUGGACAAUGGGCGCAAGCCUGAUCCAGCCAUACCGCGUGCGUGAAGAAGGCCUUCGGGUUGUAAAGCCCUUUUGUUGGGAAAGAAACGCAUCAGGUUAAUACCCCGCUGUAAUGACGGUACCGAAAGAAUAAGCACCGGCUAACUACGUG